RNAcentral lists this ribosomal RNA (503 nucleotides) under uncultured bacterium. Its description in RNAcentral is "partial 16S ribosomal RNA". It matches the Rfam family "Bacterial small subunit ribosomal RNA", at positions 30 to 523 of the family's 1533-position model. The record is from RNAcentral.
AUUGAACGCUGGCGGCAGGCAUAACACAUGCAAGUCGAGCGGGGUGAUGGUGCUUGCACUAUCACUUAGCGGCGGACGGGUGAGUAAUGCUUAGGAAUCUGCCUAUUAAUGGGGGACGACAUCUCGAAAGGGAUGCUAAUACCGCAUACGUCCUACGGGAGAAAGCAGGGGAUCACUUGUGACCUUGCGCUAAUAGAUGAGCCUAAGUCGGAUUAGCUAGUUGGUGGGGUAAAGGCCUACCAAGGCGACGAUCUGUAGCGGAUCUGAGAGGAUGAUCCGCCACACUGGGACUGAGACACGGCCCAGACUCCUACGGGAGGCAGCAGUGGGGAAUAUUGGACAAUGGGGGGAACCCUGAUCCAGCCAUGCCGCGUGUGUGAAGAAGGCCUUAUGGUUGUAAAGCACUUUAAGCGAGGAGGAGGCUCUUUUGGUUAAUACCCAGAAUGAGUGGACGUUACUCGCAGAAUAAGCACCGGCUAACUCUGUGCCAGCCGCCGCAGUAA